This 468-nucleotide ribosomal RNA is filed under the name uncultured bacterium. RNAcentral describes it as "partial 16S ribosomal RNA". It matches the Rfam family "Bacterial small subunit ribosomal RNA", at positions 28 to 507 of the family's 1533-position model. The record is from RNAcentral.
GACGAACGCUGGCGGCGUGCUUAACACAUGCAAGUCGAACGGAAAGGCCCUGCUUUUGUGGGGUGCUCGAGUGGCGAACCGGUGAGUAACACGUGAGUAACCUGCCCUUGACUUUGGGAUAACUUCAGGAAACUGGGGCUAAUACCGGAUAGGAGCUCCUGCUGCAUGGUGGGGGUUGGAAAGUUUCGGCGGUUGGGGAUGGACUCGCGGCUUAUCAGCUUGUUGGUGGGGUAGUGGCUUACCAAGGCUUUGACGGGUAGCCGGCCUGAGAGGGUGACCGGCCACAUUGGGACUGAGAUACGGCCCAGACUCCUACGGGAGGCAGCAGUGGGGAAUAUUGCACAAUGGGCGGAAGCCUGAUGCAGCAACGCCGCGUGCGGGAUGACGGCCUUCGGGUUGUAAACCGCUUUCGCCUGUGACGAAGCGUGAGUGACGGUAAUGGGUAAAGAAGCACCGGCUAACUACGUG